RNAcentral lists this ribosomal RNA (401 nucleotides) under uncultured bacterium. Its description in RNAcentral is "bacterial SSU rRNA". It matches the Rfam family "Bacterial small subunit ribosomal RNA", at positions 975 to 1375 of the family's 1533-position model. The record is from RNAcentral.
CUACUCUUGACAUCCAGAGAAUUCGCUAGAGAUAGCUUAGUGCCUUCGGGACAGAGGUGACAGGUGGUGCAUGGUUGUCGUCAGCUCGUGUCGUGAGAUGUUGGGUUAAGUCCCGCAACGAGCGCAACCCUUGAUUUUAGUUGCCAGCACUUUGGGUGGGCACUCUAGAAUGACUGCCGGUGACAAACCGGAGGAAGGCGGGGAUGACGUCAAAUCAUCAUGCCCCUUAUGACUUGGGCUACACACGUACUACAAUGGCUGGUACAACGGGAAGCGAAGCCGCGAGGUGGAGCCAAUCCUAUAAAAGCCAGUCUCAGUUCGGAUUGCAGGCUGCAACUCGCCUGCAUGAAGUCGGAAUUGCUAGUAAUCGCGGAUCAGCAUGCCGCGGUGAAUACGUUCCC